UCCUGGCUCAGGAUGAACGCUGGCGGCGUGCUUAACACAUGCAAGUCGAACGGAGUUUUAACGGAAGUUUCGGAUGGAAGUUAAGAACUAGUGGCGGACGGGUGAGUAACGCGUGGGUAACCUGCCUCAUACAGGGGGAUAACAGUUAGAAAUGACUGCUAAGACCGCAUAAUAUAGCGAAACCGCAUGAUUUUGCUAUCAAAUAUUUAUAGGUAUGAGAUGGGCCCGCGUCUGAUUAGCUAGUUGGUGGGGUAAAAGCCUACCAAGGCGACGAUCAGUAGCCGGCUUGAGAGAGUGACCGGCCACAUUGGGACUGAGACACGGCCCAAACUCCUACGGGAGGCAGCAGUGGGGAAUAUUGGACAAUGGGGGAAACCCUGAUCCAGCGAACCGCCGCGUGAGUGAAGAAGUAUUUCGGUAUGUAAAGCUCUAUCAGCAGGGAAGAUAAUGACAGUACCUGACUAAGAAGCCCCGGCUAACUACGUGCCAGCAGCCGC
This 497-nucleotide ribosomal RNA is filed under the name uncultured bacterium. RNAcentral describes it as "bacterial SSU rRNA". It matches the Rfam family "Bacterial small subunit ribosomal RNA", at positions 17 to 518 of the family's 1533-position model. The record is from RNAcentral.